RNAcentral lists this non-coding RNA (307 nucleotides) under Klebsiella indica. RNAcentral's name for it is "MicL sRNA". It matches the Rfam family "MicL sRNA". From Rfam's summary of the family: mRNA-interfering complementary RNA regulator of Lpp. The record is from RNAcentral. Lineage: Bacteria; Pseudomonadati; Pseudomonadota; Gammaproteobacteria; Enterobacterales; Enterobacteriaceae.
UAUGGCAGGGGCAGGCGUGCGUGCCGCCAACUUACCGCUGUUUAUCCAGGCAGGGGUAAAAGAAGUGCACAGUUCGGCAGGUCAGUGGUUACCGUCCCCGAUGCGUUUUCGCCAUCCUGGAUUAUCGAUGUCAACCGGCACUGACGCCGCAGAAUAUUUACGUUACGCCGUGAACGGCGAAGCGGUAGCGAAAAUGAAGAAUACGAUUCUCGCGCGGAGAGAUUAGCCCGUUUUUACUGCACAUCAUGUCGCCCAAUAUGAUGAUUGCCCGUACCAGGCCCCUGCCCAUUAAACAGGGGCCUUUUUU